Molecule: long non-coding RNA, 827 nt
Filed under: Homo sapiens (human)
Lineage: Eukaryota; Metazoa; Chordata; Mammalia; Primates; Hominidae
Description: HSALNT0391727
Source: RNAcentral
AGCAGGUGAAGCGCAGAAGGCCCUCAGGGGCUGCAUUCUUCCCGGGGCACCUGUGUCUGCCCCACUCUGUGGCUCCCAGGAGCAGCUGGAGUACCCCUCAAUGACAGCAGCAAGCACCUGUCAUCUGCAGGAGGCCUCAGGAGCCAUCUAGUGUCACCUAUAGCUGAAGAAAAUGAGGCACAGAGAGGACACAGCUCUGAGGACGGUGGCACAGAAGGAAAGACCAAGAUGCAGAGAGAUGUCUAAAAGGUGCCAGAAGGUGACUAUCCAGCCCUGGUAUCACUGCCUGGUGAUUUCGUUUCUUUGAUCUUCACGAAUGGCCUCACUGGCUGUGAUUUGGACAGAAAUCAGCUGCCACGUGCAACAUUCUCCCAUGGGAACAUGUGUCCGCAGUACCUAUCUCAGAGCCCAAAUCCUUCCUGCCCCACAGCCUUCUCCUGGAACCUGCCUUGGAUUGGCAGCUUUGCAUAACAAACACCACUCCUGAGCUGCCCAGCAUGGGGAGAAAGAAGAGACCGCCUGAGCCUCACCCUUUGCUGGCCAGCUGUGUUGACUUACUACAGCUGACUUCUCUGAGCCGGAGCUUCCUCGUCUGCACAAGGGAGACGACAGCUGGGCCUGACUCCCAGGUUUAUGAUAAGGAUUAGAGGAGCAUUAGCAAGGGCAAUGUUUGUAGUAGAGACAGGCAAACAGAAGACUCUCAGUACAUGGUAUUGUACUAAUGGUAUCUAACCCCAUUAGACUCAGACACUGAAGGAAAUGCAGUAAAGCACACACAGCUGAUUGACAAAAAUGCAAUGACAUUGUACAGAUUUGAAAAUAUUAGC